RNAcentral lists this long non-coding RNA (11234 nucleotides) under Equus caballus (horse). RNAcentral describes it as "lncRNA (ENSECAG00000056467.1)". Lineage: Eukaryota; Metazoa; Chordata; Mammalia; Perissodactyla; Equidae. The record is from RNAcentral.
GGAGGGGAUGUGAGGUCAGGGGACCUGCCUGUUACCAGCUGUAAGAUCUUGAUGAACCAGAGGUGAUAACAGAGGCCCUUCCUGGAACUGCUGUGAGGAGUAAAUGAGAUAAGAACGUGGAAGUGAAGCACAGGUGUCAGUUAUUAAUGAGAGUCUGUUAACCUAAUAGACACCACUGACUGAGCUCUUACAACUGCACGGGACGAGGGCUUCACUUCACUAGCCUGGCCUCCUUUAAUCCAAUAAUCGCACAAAGAGGGCCCUGUAAGUAUCUCUAUUUAUCAAAUGAAGAAACUGAAGGCCAGAGAAGUCAUGGAACCUACCCCAGGUCACACAGCUGGUCAGUGGCACAAUGUGGAUUUGAACACGGGCUCUUGGUCACUCUGCGGUGCUUUCCUCUAUGCAGCAGUCUCUGUGUUAGCCACAGAGAUGUGAAAGUGGCGAUCUUGUGGGGUCGAGACUGCAGAGCGCACAGCUUGGCUGUAACACACACCCACAAACUCCAAGGAGCCAACAGACCCCCUAGAACGGAGCCUUAGUUUACGAGGCAGCUCUUUCUUCGGACCGGGAAAAUAAGUCAAAAUGGUGCACAGGAAGUAAGAUAAAUACGCGGGCUUCCUCCCGGAUCCGGCUGGAGCCCUGGGGGGCACAGUCGUGCCCUGCUCCUCCCCCCCACGCCACCCAUCAGCAGAGGGACGUUGGACAGCUCCUCCAGGACCCGUCUGCUGGAGCAGUGAGAGCGAGUGCUGGCUUUCUGCCUGGAGGGCGAGUUCCCUCCUGGGAAAUUGCAGGGACUGGGCGCCGAGCCCGGGGUUCUUUCUGCCCUCUUCAUUCCACCCCCACCCCUCCACGCACGCAUGCCCGCGUUCCGGCUGCCUCUGGGUCAGGCUGAGUCUUGGGCUGCAGCAAGAAGAUUCUUAAAGCCCACACUUUCUCUCCUUUGGCACAAGGCAGUUGGACAGCUCUGAGAUGAAUGGGGCUGCACAGCUGUCGGGGGUGACACAGUUUUCCCUGGAUGUGGCCGUAGCAGAGGAGCUCAGGUCAAGCAGGUGGUGGCCCCUAGUCCAGCUCCUGGGGUGGCUUGGACCAACCCCGAGCCCUGGGUUCUAGUCCCGGCUGCCCUGUGAACUUGUGAUGGACGCAUCAGACAAGCUCUAAGCCUGAGUUCCUUCAUCUGUGAAAAGGAGAAGUACAAACGCUGCCCUGUCCGCUCGCGGGGCUAACAUAGGCAACAAAUGAGAAAAUGGACGUGACAGAACUUGGUAAGCUCCCUCCCCUGUUAGCAUUGUGUUAUUAGGCUGUUGGUAAGGUUUUGUCCUGGAUAGUCUGUCCUUUUGUCCAUCCACCCUAGCAACUCACCCAUGCUCCCAGGGCUCUGCCCAACCCGCUGACCUGAAGUAAGAGGGGUAAGGAGUAAAUAUUUUUUCAGGAAACCAGUUAGGAAAUGACAGCCCCCUCAGCUCUCAGCCCAAAGGCACCCGUUUGGGUUGUGUGAAGACAGGGCUGGGGCUUGCGUUGCAGAUAGACCUGGGCAUCAAGUUCCUGCCUCACCACUGGUAGCACCUGAGGCAUGUCGUCUGCUCCCUGAGUCUUAUCUUCACCGAUAAUGCGAGCCGCCUUCCAGGGAUGUUUUGAGACUCAAAGUGGAAACCUGAUGGAAAGUCCUUCAGGAACUGUAAAGUGUGGGGCAAUUGUUUACUUCUUGUCCUUCUGGCCUGCACACAGAGUAAGCACUGUGCCCUGGAGCCCCACAGCAAGAUGGCUGGGCUAGGGUACCGGCAGCUUGUUCCAUCCCGCCUCAUCCCAGCAUCACGCCCCCAAACCUAGAAGCCCUCACAGCGGGACAGUGUCCUGGUGAGCCCAAGGCACUCCUUGGUGUAUGUGACAUUGCCCAGGCUGAGCAGCGGCCCUCUCAGCCUCCACCAUGGCCCACAGACCCUAAGGGCACUGGCUCUCUGGGAAGGUCACCUUUACUUCCACGACAAUCCUUGUAAGCGGAGGAUUCUAACCCGGCUACAAUGGGAGCCCCUCACCUGGGCUCCUCAAUGGGAAAGUUACCAACGUGCAAAAUCUUUCUUUCUUUCUCCCCCCGUGCUGCAGCUUCAAAUACUCACUGCUCAAAGAAGAAUCAUGCUGAUUCUGGACUUCACGCAUGAAGCCUAGGUUUUCAUCCCAAAACGCUAUGUUGGAACAAAGGUGACUCCUUAUGAGGAGACCUGAAGGGUGACUCAAUGUGCUGGCACAGUGGGGUGGAGACCGCAGUGGGCUCUGGCAAGAGUUCUGGGUCCUGGUCCACUCUCUGCUGCUGACCUUGGAUGAUUUCUUUCCACUGUGUGACCCACUCUAUAAGGUGAGGUCCCUGCAUCAGACAACCUCCAGGGGCCCUUGAUGCUCAAAUUUCCAUUCCUUCCUAUAUUACUGUUCUCCUGGGUUUCCUCUGGCCAGAGUGCUCUUCUCUCUAGCUGAGAUACUCAACAGCAUCUGUCUUGCCAACCCAGGCAACUAUAGUAUCAGCUUCCAUUUAGAGCAUCUUCUAUUAUCCCCAGUUGAUACAUUAGAAAAUCAAGGCUCAGAGGAGUUGACUGGCUGACCCAUAGUCACACAGCUGUGAGAGAGGAACCAAGCUUCAACCUCAAGCGUCGACUCAGCUUCAGAGCCUGUGUUCUUAAUUAUCACACACUGUGGCAUUUUCCUGUGUCACUGCCUAGUUACUGUUUAUAAAAAUCACACAGCUAUAAGUGAGGAACCAAAAUUCAACCUCAGGCUUCAACUCAACUUCAGGGGCACGUUCUUAAUUAUCACACACUGUGGCGUUUUCCUGCAUCAUUGCCUGGUUAUUGUUUACAAUCAACGUGACUGUAAGACAGUCUAUGUCUCUCAUGCCUCAAAUUAUUUACCAAGACUUGACACAAAGAACACUGAUUCUACUGAAUGUUAAUCCUCGAAAAAAUAGUUUUCAUGAUCAAGUGAGUUUGACAUUGAGUAAAACAAGUAAACAGUUUCUCUUUAACUGCAAGACUUCUCAGAGCCUUUAAGAUGUGAGUAAGGUGCAUUUUAAAUCUACUAGAGGGGAUAGAGUAUACAAUUUUCCCCAAAGCUCUUUGUCCAUAGACCUCCUCCCUUUUUUUUUUUCCCCUUUGAGAAACUUGUGUUCCACUAAAAGACUAGGGUUCUACAAUUUCGCUACUCAAGCAUGAGACUGUCCCCAGACAGGCAACAUCAGGUGUCACCUGGAGCUAGUUAAAAAUACAGAAUCUCAGACCCUGCCUAGACCUGCCAAACCAGAGUCUGCAUUUUAAUAAGAGGCCCAGGUGGUUCGCGUGCCCAGUAAAGUUUGAAAAGCCCUGGUCCACGCUACACGUUUAGGGAAACAUGGCUUGAUGCAAGAGCAAUCAAGCCAUAAAAUCCAGUGGUGAAAAAAGUAUCAAGCACUAUUUGGCAUCACGUGGACCAAAUGACUAGAUUUGGAAUUAAGUCGAGGUGCUGUAACAUCACACAGAAUCCAAGAGAAUUCCCACAAUGUAAUGUUUCUCCCCAUUCCUAAUGGGAUGUCAAAAUUGAUAGAGAUGGAAGGAUGAUCAAUACCCUUUGCUAAAGGCAUUCCUAGAAUUCGGACAUGGAAAGCAUUGCAUUCCUCUUCCUAAAGUAUGAAGAUUUUUUAAAAAUUUCAGCUUUAUUGAGGUAUAAUUGACAUAUAAAAUUGUAAGAUAUUUAAAGUGUACAUUGUGGUGAUUUGAUAUACAUAUGCAUUGUGAAAGGAUUCCCCCCCUAGCGUUAGUUGACACCUCUAUCACUUCACAUAUUUAUCUUUUCUUUUUUACGGGAACAUUUAAGUUCUACUCUCAGUAUAUUUCAAUUAUACAAUUAUCAACUAUAGUCGCUAGGUCUUACAUUAGAUCCUCAGACCUUGUUCAUCUUAUAGCUGAAAGUUUGUACCCUUUGACAAACCUCUGCCUAUUUCCUCCACCCCCAGCCCCUGGCAACCACUUUUCUCUCUCAAUCAUAGAAGUAGGCGAGGUUAUGGGCAUCCCUGGGUUAUCACCUGGGAUAUUCUUGGGAAAUGACCCAUUGGUCCCUAAGCCUGGCAUCUCAGCAGACAGCCUCAAGGUUACAAAAGCUUGUCUCAAGGUUUUAAAAAUCACAGCUGAAAUGACCCAUUCAUGCAAGAUAAGACCUAUGCCUGCAGAAAACUGCCUUUGCUUUUGGCUGCAAUUAUUUCAAUUCAUGUGGUCACACUCUCUCAGGCUGACCUGACAUUUCAAGCUGUAGUUUGAUAUAUCUUUGCUCAACACAAGAUAGGGAAGCAAAUUAGACUUAACUUAAUUACUUCAAUGUUUUGGGGAGACAAAAAGUUUUCUAAGUCUGUGAGCAGAGAGGUUCACUAAGCGGCCCAAAGACACAGAGCUUGUAAGUGAUGACAGAUCUGUUGACUCCCAAGUCAGGACUCUUUCCAGUGCAGAGGCAACCCAAGGACACAUGUGUGUUUUGUCACACUCUUCACAUUUGGCUCCUAAGGAGUUUACCCUUCCCUAAACCCUUCCUUUUAUAAUACAAAGCACCCCUGUCUCCCUCCGCACGUCCCCCCGCUCUACUCUGCCUUUGGGUUUAGAACCUCUCAUUCAUCUUUAUUGAAUUCCUUUCUUUAGGUGCUGCCCAAUGUACCACCUCGCUAAGAUUUUUUUUCCCAUUCUAAAUUGUCAUGCAAAUCAUCUUCUAGUGCUCUCCACAGCUAGGAUGACUCUACCUACCUCCCUUGUCACUGGAGGAAAGGCCUUGUCAAGGAUGGAGCUCCACAGCCCCCUCUGAGAAGUAGGUAACUAGUAACCUGUCAAUCAAUUUGGAUGCAUCUCCUGGCCAAAAUAUCUAAAAUGGAACUCCCAGUUCUUCCCCGAGUCUUCCCACGUGCAGUAUGGCACCGCCAUAAAUUUGGUUGAUGGGAGAAAAAAUGUCUGUUCCUUUUUAUUCUUCAUCCAUCGUAUCUUAUCUAUCAGCAAGUCCUUUCCACUCAACUUCCAAAAGAUAGGCUAAAUCCUGUCACCAGCACUGUCACCAGCAGGUCUAAAACAUUGUCAUCUCUCACCUGGACCACUGCAAGCAUCUCCUAACUACUCUUCUUCCUUCUACUCAUGCUCUCUCCGGUCACUUGCCACAAGGCAGCCAGAGCGGUCAGCCACUGAAACAGCAUCAGAUCACACCACUCCCUUGCUUAAAACCCUUCCCCUCUGGAAUGUAGGCUCCAUGAGAUCUAGGCCCCAACUUUCAUAUUCACCUGUGUAUCCCAGGUGCCAACUGUGUACCUAGCACAAAGUAGGUAUCCAGUAAAUAAUGCUUGCGUGAAUGAAUCAAGUAACGACCUUAGUUGCAAAUAACAAGAAUCUUCUGUUAUUUAUAUAAAAGUGGCCCUUACUCUUUUUUGGUUUUUCUUUUUAUUCUAACAUUGUGGUAAGUCUUCUCUAGUCUCUGAGAUGUCAACAUAUCUAGACUCUAAGCAAUUUAUUCCUCCUCUUUCCUCCAGCCAACAGAAGCAAAGUGAAAGGAAUUUGCAACUUACACACACAAAUGCGUCUCCCUUCAGUUAUGUUGCUUGAGAAUAGAUGGGAGAUUAUGCUGAUUGAACUGGACAUUUUCCAUUUUUAUUAUUUCAAUUAUAAACAUAAACUAUUGGGGGUAAAAAUCAAAUGGAAAUCUGCCUAUCAAUUUCACAAUUAGCAUCUCAUUUCAAGAGACCAAUCAACUCAAAUGAGGGCCAGUGACCUUAAUCUUUCCCCAAAUACAGUGCUUGAUUCCUCUUAUUAGUUGAAAAUCUCCAAACUAUGAAACAUUUGGGUUAACCCCAUGUUUGCAUCAAUGAUGCUAUUACCACAUUUAAAUAAGUCCGGGGAUUUUUGUGACCUUUGUGUUACAGUUUGUAUGGCUGAAAGCAGAAGACUAAGGCUGUGCAAAUCAAGGAGAAAUAACAAGGGCCUCUUUUUUCCUUUAUUUUUCUAAGACUGUGGAAGGAAGUGUGAUUUUUAGGAGACUUAUUUUGCCACCAAUUAGCUGAAAUUAAUCUAAGAGGAGAGUAAACCCCAGAAGUCAAAGGCAGCCAAUUUUAAUCAUGAAAGUCUGUUAAAAAUCCAAUCAGAAAAAAACAUUGUCUUUGUGAUAUAGGAGGCGGGAAAUCUGGGUUUUUAAAAAAGGAGAGAAAUAGGGGUUGGCCCUAUGGCCAACUGGUUAAGUUCUCGCGCUCCACUGCAGGUGGCCCAGUGUUUCAUUGGUUCGAAUCCUGAGCGCGGACAUGGCACUGCUCAUCUAACCACGCUGAGGCAGCAUCCCACAUGCCACAACUAGAAGGACCCACAACGAAGAAUAUACAACUAUGUACUGGGGGGCUUUGGGGAGAAAAAGGAAAAAAAUAAAAUCUUAAAAAAAAAAGAGAGAGAAAUAGAAAAAGAAACAUUUGACCUGGCAAACAAAGCAUCUACAGAACAUCAAUAUCCUUGCAGAGAUUAGAACAAGACCACGUGCUCUGCGGAAUGAACCCCCAACUCCUGAAACACCGAAGGCUCCACCUAGACACACACACAGGUACCAACCGACCCUUAGAACUAGACGGACCAGUUCCUAAUGGGUUUGUUAACAGCUAUCUGGAUAAUUUCUCUUUGGAGAAGACUUGGGGUGCACAAGAUACCAAAACUACCCAUGAAACAUUUCAAGGUCAGCCAGGAAGCUGCCAGUCUUGUCCACCUGACUCCAUUGAUUGAUGCGCAUUGAAUAGCUGCAUCCAAGUCUUUGCUGAGGUGACUGAUUUUUCUUCAACUUGGCUGCACUAAUAAUUGGCUGUUUGGGAUCUAUAUGGCUAGAAUUCUUAAGCUGCAAGAAAUAGACGUAAGCCAAGCUUAGGCAGGAAAGGGGAAUUCAUUAAGAGGAUGUAGGACGGUUCCUCAGAACUCAAGGGCACAAACAGCACCAGACCUCAAGAAAGACCUUGCUCCGUGUCUCCUUUCUGUUCUCCUCAGCACAUCUGCUUCUCCGUUCACAAGACUGAAGGAAAUGGCCACCCCUCGCUACCUACUUCCCAUGUGGUCUAUUCUAGAGACCAAUCCAGCCUCUACCGGAAUCUUUGGGUCUCAAAUUAUGAGCAGAAAGAAUCUGAAUCACCAAAUUUGGGUCAGGUAUCCAUUCUGACACAUUUGACCAUGGCCAAUGAGGGUGGGUCACAUGGCACAGACAUGGCACAUCCGUGUAGCCAAAGAUGAAGAGAGCAAUUCAGGAAGAUCAGUAAGAGCUGGGCAGAAUCCCCCAGAAUGUGUCCAGUAAAAGAUUGCGUUGUCACAACCAGAGACGACUGAACUAGCCUCACACACAGAGCCACAGCCAAGCCAAAUGAGUCCCAUUGAACCUCCGGUCACACCAUCUCCUCAGGGUGAGAGGCUGGCACCCGGUGGGGACUGCUGCUCUGUAGCUGCACAGCAUUCUGGGAGAGGAGCCCUGGCUCUCCUGUCUGAGAGCACCCUGCCUUCUUCUUCUUCAUACUGCUUGUCACAGUUUAUAAUCCUCCCUUUAUCUGUAAACUGAUUUAAUGAGCAUCUCUCUCCACCACUUGGCUUGAAGUUCUAUGAGGUCAGGUACCAUAUUGGUUUCACUUGCCUUCAUAUUCCUGGUACCGUGCCUGGCACACAGUGGGUACUCACGAAAGAAUACUGAAUGAAGGAAUGAAUGAAAGGGUUGCUGAAUGAAUGAAUGGAGUGAAGGAGGUCAGGUAAGUUUUUCCAGAUGAUUUGGUACAUGAGUUGCGUCUUGAAGGACAAACAAGAGUUUUCUAGGAGAACAGGUCGGGAGAGGGAAUGACAGGUACAAAUGUUACCAUGGAGACUGUGAGGCAGGUUUGGGCAAGAGAUCUGGCUAGAAAGGGGCUGUGGAGGCCAGCUAAUGGAUGGCCUUGUGUAGAAAUUGGAGGAUAAAGAGCUAGAAAGUAUAUUUCUAGAUUUUAGACAAAUCCAUCUGAUGGGAAGGUCGGGGCUGGAUUGGAGGCAGGAAGGUGAAUUAGGAAGUUUAUGUAGUCAUCCAAAAGAGAAAAGAAAUGGCAGUGGGAAUGAGGAGGAGCAGAUUUUAAGAGCUAUUAAGGAAGUUGAAUCAGCAGAAACUCACGGAAUGUAAUUUUCUCUGUUUUGUUACAUAGUUGUUUAUGCGCAUCUCAUCUCCCCUGCAAGACUGGGCGCUUCUGACUCUGUCUUCCUUAUUCCUGGGCUACCAGGGCUUGCACAGUGCCCACCCAACACACAGCAAUUUGUUGAAAAGAUAAACUCGCGAAUGAUUGAAUGAUGACCACUAACCAAGGGACAGGCUUGGGCUCAGGGUAACAUCUCUGUCUAAUGACCUGAACUGGAAUAGACUGAAAUGGAAUGGAACGGACCUCCUAUUCUUCAGAAACUACCUAACACACAGACUUGAAGCUGAGGAAUGGCUGGCAGAACAUCCCCCUGCAAAGGCUGAGAGUAGAUGAGGCAGGAGCCUCGCUCAGGGCUUCUAGAAGGAUAACUUAAUCUAACUGAACCACCCCUUUCAGCUAAGUGCCGGGAGAAGGGAGAAUAAAACCCCUUCAAGUGACCAAAAACACUGGAACCCCUGGGCAAAGACCAGAAUCCAAAGCCUCACAGAGCCAUACUGAGCCCGAACUAAUACCAGAAGCUUCUGACCUUAGGAAAUGAUGCAAGUGAAUGAAGGGUUGUUCCCAGCUUUCUUCUCAGUAAGCAUCUGAUGAAUGAAUGAAUGGACGAACGAACUAAUAAAUGAAUAUUUUCUACCUAUUCAUGGCAAGUUUUAAAAAAAGAAUGAAGACUGGAAAUAGCUGAUUCUUUAGUGAAUAGAGAUAUUACAUUUUACCUAAGAAUCUAUUAUUUCCUUGAUCUAUAUUAUUUACAAGCUGGAAAACAGUUUAUUGCAAACAUUGGUUCCAUUUCAAUAAAAAGUCAUAUAUGGAAAUUGUAAGGUAACAGGAUCGUGUCAUACAGCCUGAUGCCCGCCUCACCCAGGACAAGCCUGGCCCUUCAUCCGUCACAGCAAACUACACUUUCACCUGGGCGUUCAUCGGGGGCAGCUCCUGGACAGGAGGCAGAACGCCCAGGUGAAAGAAUGAGCCCACAACUAUUUCAAGCCUGAUGGUUGGCCUUAGAAUUGCCACUGUCCUACAGUCAACAUUUCUGCAUAAUCACUUUGAUGGAAAUUCUCUAUACACACAAACCAGUUUGCCUGAAUUGAGCAUCAUGAAGAAGAAAGAGGAAAAGAUAGAGGAAAAAGCCACAUGUUGGGGGCCAGCCUGAUGGCAGAGUGGUUAAGCUUGCACACUCUGCUUCAGCAGCCCUGGGUUCGCAGGCUCAGAUCCCAGGCAUGGACCGAGCACCACUCGUCAAGCCAUGCUGUGGCAGCAUCCCACAUAAAAUAGAGGAAGAUGGGCACAGAUGUUAGCUCAGGGACAAUCUUCCUCAAGCAAAAAGAGAUGGCAACAGAUGUUAGCUCAGGGCCAAUCUUCCUCACAAAAAGAAGAAAGAAAGAAAGCUGCAUCUUAAAAAAAAAAAAACUACACUGCAGUAUAAAUAUUUUGGCAGGUUUUCUUAGAUCUUUUUGGUCAUGCAGGUUUCACUUGUAACCAUUCCCUCAUGGUACUGAAAACCUCUGCCAAAACAUCACUUUUAGCAGUUGCGUGAUAUUCCUUCAAGUACCUGAGUCCUGGCGUCCUUAACCAUUAUCUUCAUUUUGGGCCUGUCUCUGCAUUGUUAACUUAUACACAAUGCUAUCACGACUACCCCUGUGCACAGAGCUGUUUCCGUGUAUCAGGUGAACUAGCUGGGAGGAACUCUGGGACAAGUAAUUAAGGAAGAUAAUGGACACAUCUGUGCACUUUUUCCAAAAGAAGACAUUGCCUUUGCUCCCUGGACACAUUACGAGGCAGGACCAAGACCGUGACUUCUGAGUCUCUUCCAGCUUGAAGAACCACCUAAACCCAGGUUCCCCAUGAUUGGCCGCUUCAGAAUCGCAGGGGUGGGGCCCAGGCGUCUGUAUUUUUCAGCCCUCCAGGGGACAAACUACCUUGCCGAGUUCCACCCAGACAUCCCUCACGCAUGCACAGUUCCCAGAGGAAACUGUGGGUCAGGACUCUUCACAGGAAACGGCCGAAGCCAAUUAUAGGUGACUUAAGCGGCAAAGGGGGACUAACUGGUAGCUCACAGCACCAACGGGGAGCGGGCUCAAAAGCAGGUAGAAACCCAGAAGCCAGGAGGAGUCGGGGUACAGCACGCUGCCGCCCCUCCUGGAGCCGCCACCUCCACCUACUGGCCCUGUGGCCACCAGGAUGCAUUCUGAUCUGUCCCCUACCUCUGGGCAUCACUCACUCCACUACACUGGGCUAGAGCUACACUGGGCAAGAGCGCCUGGUUGGCUGAGCGUGGACCACACGCCCAUGCACAUGGGUACCUCACCCCCUUCCCUUCCUCUUUCCCUCUCACCUACACCCCCCCCCCCCCCCCCCGCCAUAGGAAAAGGAUUUGGCUACUAGGCAAUCCCAAAAGACAAAUAUUUUCUGUACACUCUGCUGACCUUUAUUACUUCAUUUGACUUCCACAAGAACCCUGCAAAGGUGGCCGGCCAGCAUGUAUUCCCCAUCUUGCCAACGAGGAAUCUGAGGCUGCGAGAGAGUGACUGGCCAAACUGAUGCUGAGGGUAGAGACAAGCUCUUUCCGCUACUCAGAACUACCUGCCUGUGGUCUGAUGCUGUGAAAUAUUGACAACGCCUGUCUCUCAUUUGAGCAGAGUUAUUGGAAGAGAAUCAGCUAUCACGAUGGCUAGAUACUAUACUUCAUAAACUUACUGAUCUGCCCAUCAUUUGUCUUAUUUGGUUGUUGUUGUUAAUACUUUUCGCUCCUGGAGAAAAUAUUCAGCUAGUGAGCUCAUCUGUUCUGCCAUUCAAUGUAUUAAAUUAACACCUCAACGCACGGUCUAAAACUUAGAGGUGAAAAAUUGGGUCCUUGCAGCCAAGACCAAAUAUCAUUUAUCUUAAGCUUGCAUAUUAGGGAGACUGUUUAAAAACGUGACUUUGAAAUUCCUUGGAAACAAAGGUGUUUCCUGCACUGUUUGGAGGACCGUCUUAGUUCAUUCGGGCUGCCAUAACAAAACACUACAGACUGAGUGGCUUAUAAACAACAGAAAUUUACUUUCUCGCCGUUCUAGAGGAUGGAAGUGCAAGAUCAAGGCACCAG